UGUGACCUCGGAUGAUCCAGAAGAGGUUUUCAGGGCAUUGCUGCUGGGUCCAGCCCUCCUGAUGGAUUUGACAGUUCAAGCCGGGAAGCAAACAGCAGAGCUUAUAGAAGCUUAGCCAGCCUUAUAGAACACUUCUGUGAGCUGAUGAGUGGGGAUUUCCCCCCACAGACCAAGCAAAGCAGCUGCGUGUCCUCCAACUCAAUUCAGUGCCGACACUGUCUACCUAGAGGUAGUGUCAGAUGCCACAGGUGGAGGGCUCAGUGCCACAACCGCCCUCCACUCUGAGGCCAAGAUCAAGCUCCCUGUUGUUUUGCUGUGCUUCUGACCAACCAGCUACCCAUGAGGGC
Long non-coding RNA from Heterocephalus glaber (naked mole-rat), 347 nucleotides. The record is from Ensembl. NCBI's taxonomy places the organism in Eukaryota, Metazoa, Chordata, Mammalia, Rodentia, Bathyergidae.